RNAcentral lists this ribosomal RNA (377 nucleotides) under uncultured delta proteobacterium. RNAcentral describes it as "bacterial SSU rRNA". It matches the Rfam family "Bacterial small subunit ribosomal RNA", at positions 521 to 896 of the family's 1533-position model. Lineage: Bacteria; Deltaproteobacteria. The record is from RNAcentral.
UAAUACGGAGGGUGCGAGCGUUAUUCGGAAUUACUGGGCGUAGAGGGCGCGCAGGCGGCUCCUUAAGUCAGGCGUGAAAGCCCGGGGCUAAACCCCGGAAGUGCGUCCGAAACUGGGGGGCUUGAGUACGGGAGAGGGAAGUGGAAUUCCUGGUGUAGAGGUGAAAUUCGUAGAUAUCAGGAGGAACAUCGGUGGCGAAGGCGACUUCCUGGACCGAUACUGACGCUGAGGCGCGAAAGCGUGGGUAGCAAACAGGAUUAGAGACCCUGGUAGUCCACGCUGUAAACGAUGAACACUAGGUGUAGCGGGUGUUGACUCCUGCUGUGCCGCAGCUAACGCAUUAAGUGUUCCGCCUGGGGACUACGGUCGCAAGGCUA